AAAUAAAUAUCUAAAUUUUAAGUAUAUCAUUUACAAUGAUAAGAUGUUAUAUUAAUUAACUUUAUUUA
Molecule: transfer RNA, 68 nt
Filed under: Therioaphis trifolii (yellow clover aphid)
Lineage: Eukaryota; Metazoa; Arthropoda; Insecta; Hemiptera; Aphididae
Description: tRNA-Val
Source: RNAcentral